AGGUCAUACAAUGUUUAUAUAGAUAAAUGCACACCCGCAAUAAGACAAGUGCACCAUAACAUAUUUAAUAUUAUUUCUUAGAUUAGAUCCUUAUAAAUUAAGAUGAGUCAUAUUUGCUUCUAGAAUUCACUGAGUCACCAUAUGAAUACUCCUUAUUUUAAGUAACCUAUCAUAUAUACGCACUUGACUCUUGAACUUUAUAAUAUUGCAUGCCAAUAACAUCCAAGUAUAGUACUAUAAGAUAAGAUUAAAAAGUGCAUCAUAUUGUAUAUUGUCCAAUAACCAUAUCAUGAUCAGAAUCGAAUCUGGUAAUAAAAACACUAAACAUUUGUUAGGAAACCGCGUCUUCUUCAAUGUUUCCUUAAAACAGGCACUAACAUGUAAACUUGGAGCCAAGAGAUAUCAUAGUAUUGCAUAUCUUAUUGUAUAUAAAAUCCUACUAUACUUACGUAACACUAAAGCUAGCUUCUCUUUACAAUUUUUUUAAGGUAAAUUGAAUUCUGAAAACUCACUUAAUUUAGUGAAAGUUCAAAAUAUAAAAAGUUGCC
This 548-nucleotide long non-coding RNA is filed under the name Medicago truncatula (barrel medic). RNAcentral's name for it is "long non-coding RNA (MTRU_LNC003816)". The record is from RNAcentral. Lineage: Eukaryota; Viridiplantae; Streptophyta; Magnoliopsida; Fabales; Fabaceae.